Molecule: ribosomal RNA, 253 nt
Filed under: uncultured bacterium
Lineage: Bacteria
Description: partial 16S ribosomal RNA
Rfam family: Bacterial small subunit ribosomal RNA
Source: RNAcentral
UACAGAGGUCUCAAGCGUUGUUCGGAUUCAUUGGGCGUAAAGGGUGCGUAGGUGGCGUGGUAGGUCGGGUGUGAAAUUUCGGAGCUUAACUCCGAAACUGCAUUCGAUACUGCGGUGCUUGAGGACUGGAGAGGAGACUGGAAUUCAUGGUGUAGCAGUGAAAUGCGUAGAGAUCAUGAGGAAGACCAGUGGCGAAGGCGGGUCUCUGGACAGUUCCUGACACUGAGACACGAAGGCCAGGGGAGCAAACGGG